RNAcentral lists this ribosomal RNA (601 nucleotides) under uncultured bacterium. Its description in RNAcentral is "bacterial SSU rRNA". It matches the Rfam family "Bacterial small subunit ribosomal RNA", at positions 725 to 1330 of the family's 1533-position model. The record is from RNAcentral.
CGCACGAGGCCUUUACUGACGCUAAAGCUCGAAGGUGCGGGUAUCGAACAGGAUUAGAUACCCUGGUAGUCCGCACGGUAAACGAUGGAUGCCCGCUGUUUGCGAUACACUGUGAGCGGCCAAGCGAAAGCGUUAAGCAUCCCACCUGGGGAGUACGCCGGCAACGGUGAAACUCAAAGGAAUUGACGGGGGCCCGCACGAGCGGAGGAACAUGUGGUUUAAUUCGAUGAUACGCGAGGAACCUUACCCGGGCUUGAACUGCCGGCGAACGAUACAGAGAUGUUGAGGCCCUUCGGGGCGCCGGCGGAGGUGCUGCAUGGUUGUCGUCAGCUCGUGCCGUGAGGUGUCGGCUUAAGUGCCAUAACGAGCGCAACCCCUCUCCGUAGUUGCCAUCGGGUGAUGCCGGGCACUCUGCGGACACUGCCACCGUAAGGUGUGAGGAAGGUGGGGAUGACGUCAAAUCAGCACGGCCCUUACGUCCGGGGCUACACACGUGUUACAAUGGGUGGUACAGAGGGCAGGCGUCCGGCAACGUCCGUCUAAUCCCGAAAGCCAUCCUCAGUUCGGACUGGGGUCUGCAACCCGACCCCACGAGGCUGGA